This 599-nucleotide ribosomal RNA is filed under the name uncultured bacterium. RNAcentral describes it as "bacterial SSU rRNA". It matches the Rfam family "Bacterial small subunit ribosomal RNA", at positions 1 to 606 of the family's 1533-position model. The record is from RNAcentral.
UAGAGUUUGAUCAUGGCUCAGGAUGAACGCUAGCGGGAGGCCUAACACAUGCAAGCCGAGCGGUAGAGUUUCUUCGGAAACUUGAGAGCGGCGCACGGGUGCGGAACACGUGUGCAACCUGCCUUUAUCUGGGGGAUAGCCUUUCGAAAGGAAGAUUAAUACCCCAUAAUAUAUUGAUUGGCAUCAGUUAAUAUUGAAAACUCCGGUGGAUAAAGAUGGGCACGCGUAAGAUUAGAUAGUUGGUGAGGUAACGGCUCACCAAGUCAACGAUCUUUAGGGGGCCUGAGAGGGUGAUCCCCCACACUGGUACUGAGACACGGACCAGACUCCUACGGGAGGCAGCAGUGAGGAAUAUUGGACAAUGGGUGAGAGCCUGAUCCAGCCAUCCCGCGUGAAGGAAUAAGGACCUAUGGUUUGUAAACUUCUUUUGUACAGGGAUAAACCUACUCACGUGUGAGUAGCUGAAGGUACUGUACGAAUAAGCACCGGCUAACUCCGUGCCAGCAGCCACGGUAAUACGGAGGGUGCAAGCGUUAUCCGGAUUUAUUGGGUUUAAAGGGUCCGUAGGCGGGCCCGUAAGUCAGUGGUGAAAUCUCACA